RNAcentral lists this non-coding RNA (86 nucleotides) under Dendroctonus ponderosae (mountain pine beetle). The record is from RNAcentral. Lineage: Eukaryota; Metazoa; Arthropoda; Insecta; Coleoptera; Curculionidae.
GUGUAGCAUGAAAGGAGAGACGGUUAGCACUCCCCUCGACAAGGAUGGACACAAAUACGCUUAAGGCACCUUAAGCACAUUUUUUU